CGUACACUCCUGCGGGAGGCAGCAGUGGGGAAUUUUGGACAAUGGGCGAAAGCCUGAUCCAGCCAUGCCGCGUGCAGGAUGAAGGCCUUCGGGUUGUAAACUGCUUUUGUACGGAACGAAACGGCCUUUUCUAAUAAAGAGGGCUAAUGACGGUACCGUAAGAAUAAGCACCGGCUAACUACGUGCCAGCAGCCGCGGUAAUACGUAGGGUGCAAGCGUUAAUCGGAAUUACUGGGCGUAAAGCGUGCGCAGGCGGUUAUGUAAGACAGUUGUGAAAUCCCCGGGCUCAACCUGGGAACUGCAUCUGUGACUGCAUAGCUAGAGUACGGUAGAGGGGGAUGGAAUUCCGCGUGUAGCAGUGAAAUGCGUAGAUAUGCGGAGGAACACCGAUGGCGAAGGCAAUCCCCUGGACCUGUACUGACGCUCAUGCACGAAAGCGUGGGGAGCAAACAGGAUUAGAAACCCCUGUAGUCCCAUG
Molecule: ribosomal RNA, 478 nt
Filed under: uncultured organism
Description: partial 16S ribosomal RNA
Rfam family: Bacterial small subunit ribosomal RNA
Source: RNAcentral